GAUGAACGCUGGCGGCGUGCUUAAUACAUGCAAGUCGAGCGAACAGACGAGGAGCUUGCUCCUCUGACGUUAGCGGCGGACGGGUGAGUAACACGUGGAUAACCUACCUAUAAGACUGGGAUAACUUCGGGAAACCGGAGCUAAUACCGGAUAAUAUAUUGAACCGCAUGGUUCAAUAGUGAAAGACGGUUUUGCUGUCACUUAUAGAUGGAUCCGCGCCGCAUUAGCUAGUUGGUAAGGUAACGGCUUACCAAGGCAACGAUGCGUAGCCGACCUGAGAGGGUGAUCGGCCACACUGGAACUGAGACACGGUCCAGACUCCUACGGGAGGCAGCAGUAGGGAAUCUUCCGCAAAGGGCGAAAGCUUGACGGAGCAACGCCGCGUGAGUGAUGAAGGUCUUCGGAUCGUAAAACUCUGUUAUUAGGGAAGAACAAAUGUGUAAGUAACUAUGCACGUCUUGACGGUACCUAAUCAGAAAGCCACGGCUAACUACGUG
RNAcentral lists this ribosomal RNA (497 nucleotides) under uncultured bacterium. RNAcentral describes it as "partial 16S ribosomal RNA". It matches the Rfam family "Bacterial small subunit ribosomal RNA", at positions 28 to 507 of the family's 1533-position model. The record is from RNAcentral.